GCCCUCGAAGCUUGAUAAAAUGUAAAAUUAUCGCACAUUCAUUGUUAUUGUUUUCGGUUUGCCCCGCACACAAUGCUAUAUAUUUCUUUCGAUUUUCCACAGCCUUACAGCUCUAAACAGGCUGACUUAAACACGCAGCUAAGUUCACGAAAUCAAACUUGAAGAAUUAUGUUGAUUUGCCUUAAAAAAAUCCCCACCUCUGAGGAAGUGCGUCAACGGAAAUUUUGCAGCGCACGCAAUGCGACUGCUAUUGGCUAUAGUAAAUCACUUUAAAAAUUAGCAUAAUCCGUCAGCAGAUGGAAAAUUGGUAGCAAACACAGCGGCAGGUCAGAAGUUGGCUAUAAGAACCAGGGACGGCGCAUAUUCGUUUUAAAUGUUUUUUAAGAUAUGUAUAUUGAUGAGUUUACAAAAUGUUAAGCCAUAACAACUUAUAGUUUGCCCAACAUCCCUGUGUACACUUGAUUUCGUCUUAUGGUUUUUUUAUGGCGCGGAAAACCCUUUCGUUGGAAUUUGUUAUUCAAAUGGCAGAAACGCACACACAAAACAACGGAAGGAAGGAAGCAGCAGUAAAAUGUAUUGAUCAAUUAGGCAGAAAUGUUGUGCAUUGAAAGGAUGUUUUGUAAACUCCGGACCGUUGAAGAUUACAGGGCAUUAGGGGCAUUUGUUAAUCGUUCGAGCUCACUGCCCUCACAGUAAAUUAAUUCUAAAUUACAUAUGCUGUGUAACUCCAUGUUAAUUUAUUUUAAAAUAACUACUAAAGCUCAACGUCCAUUGAAGACAGAAAUGCAUUCAUAAAUAAUUCGUUGCCUGGGAGAUGCAGUAAGUCCGAUGCAACCACAAAAGCAAGGAAGUGAGGAAGUUUCUCCCGUUUUAUUCUGUCCAAGAUUACAGCUCAAAAUCGGAGCAAAAGCCCAGGAACGAGGGAAUGCCACCCGUUUGCUGAUUGAUGAUAUGCCGGCAAAAGUUGCCAGGCAAAUAAUUCAACAAAAGUUGAGCGGGCAGGCAUUGGUCUUGGGAUCGCUCUGCAGUUUAUGAAAACGUUAAAUAAAAGACAAAACGAGAUGAAGCCCCGGUACGCACACACGCACGACAGCUUGCAAUUUGUGUUGCACAAGUUCUGGCCCGAUUUGGCCGGUCCGUUUUGGCCUGGUCUGUACGUGCUUACGGGCAGCUCGGAAAAGCUUAUUCAAAUGAAAGGCAAACAGAGCGACAACGGAGCAACAAUUGAAAUCAUUUAACAUUUGCAGAAACCAAAUACUCCUGGCCACGUUCUGCGAUUCCCACUCGAUGCAGUUGCACUUUAGCCCUUUUCGGGUUCAAAAUCCCACGAAACUGGAGGGGAAAUCGUUUGGGGGAAUGUGCUCGAGCCAAAUUGAAUGUUAACCCACAGACAUGUCAACCUUAGUUGGAAAUAAAUAUUCGCAUUCUGAAAACGAUUGAGUUUUUGGCCAGGAAAGAUAUCCUUUCCGGACACGUGCAAUCACAUAUGCUUCAAAGAAAAAUACGCAAUUUUCUGAAUAUGUUGCGAAAGGCAAAGGCAGCCGCAGCAGUUAUGCCAGCAAGACCAACAAUAAGGAAGCCGGCAAUCGCACUCGGCCUUAUGGCCAAGGAAAGUUUUUCAGCCAACCAAGUUGGCAGGCUGAGGACGGGGCCAACUGCCGACUAUAAUCGCAUAACUUUUUGCACACGCUGGCAUUUAUCAAUCCGGAACACGUGAAGCCAUAGCCACCGGAAAAUCAAUCACAAAUUUAUUUCCCGGUCUGCAUAAUUAAAAUUAUGAUUUCCUCUCACGGUAACCAAGCACAUUGUUGUGGUUUUUCGGAAGGGCUUGAUAAAUGCAAACCAAAAGCAGCGGAACGGAAAGAAAAACUUCAAUUGCGAGCUUCAAACUGUCAGAAAGCAGUUGGCAAAAAUAUAAACAAAAAGCCAGCGAUGCACAAAGGCAAGUGACAAAUUGGAAGACCCAAAAAAAAAACUGGAACGCAGGCAAAACUAUAAGCGAAAGGGUCCCCAAACCAAAUGCCACGCCGAGCAUACAAUGCAGCAUAGGAAUGAAUAUACACCGUAAAAAAUAGCACAUAAAAAGCUCAUAAUUACUUGUAAUUGGCUAAUAUAUGUAUGCUGGGAUA
Drosophila simulans is the source of this 2129-nucleotide long non-coding RNA. RefSeq lists it as uncharacterized. The transcript has 5 exons. The record is from RefSeq and is a predicted model, not a curated record. Lineage: Eukaryota; Metazoa; Arthropoda; Insecta; Diptera; Drosophilidae.